RNAcentral lists this ribosomal RNA (253 nucleotides) under uncultured bacterium. Its description in RNAcentral is "partial 16S ribosomal RNA". It matches the Rfam family "Bacterial small subunit ribosomal RNA", at positions 524 to 776 of the family's 1533-position model. The record is from RNAcentral.
UACGUAGGGGGCUAGCGUUGUCCGGAUUUAUUGGGCGUAAAGAGCGUGUAGGCGGCCAGGUAGGUCCGGUGUGAAAACUCGAGGCUUAACCUCGAGAUGUCAUCGGAAACCAUCUGGCUAGAGUCCGGAAGAGGAAAGUGGAAUUCCUGGUGUAGCGGUGAAAUGCGCAGAUAUCAGGAAGAACACCAAUGGCGAAAGCAGCUUUCUGGGACGGUACUGACGCUGAGACGCGAAAGCGUGGGGAGCAAACGGG